RNAcentral lists this long non-coding RNA (372 nucleotides) under Elaeis guineensis (African oil palm). Its description in RNAcentral is "long non-coding RNA (EGUI_LNC002387)". Lineage: Eukaryota; Viridiplantae; Streptophyta; Magnoliopsida; Arecales; Arecaceae. The record is from RNAcentral.
GAGCAGUUUUAAAGGGCCUUAAGGAAGAUGUAUAAUUAUUUUUGAUAUUUGGCAUUCUUUAUAUCUUUUUUAAAAUUGAGGACUAAUGAUUUUGACUUCACUUUCAUAUUAGAGACCCACUAUGUGCAACAUAGGAUGUUGCUCAUUGAAGCAGAGCAUUCCAACUAUCAGAUGGAGAGGCAUGAAGGCCGAAUGAAUAGGGCAGCUAGAAAGAUGAGCAGAUUUGAGAGUACAUAUAACUUUGUCAUGGUGUUGACCUCUCACUUGAUUUGAUUUUUUUAAAUUUAUUUUUAACUUAUCUAUUUUUUAUCUAUUUAUCCUUAGUUGCAGCUCUUCUAUAAAUAUCGAUAUAUUUUUACAAAGGCCAAGCAG